Molecule: ribosomal RNA, 448 nt
Filed under: Shewanella japonica
Lineage: Bacteria; Pseudomonadati; Pseudomonadota; Gammaproteobacteria; Alteromonadales; Shewanellaceae
Description: partial 16S ribosomal RNA
Rfam family: Bacterial small subunit ribosomal RNA
Source: RNAcentral
GGCGGGACGGGUGAGUAAUGCCUAGGGAUCUGCCCAGUCGAGGGGGAUAACAGUUGGAAACGACUGCUAAUACCGCAUACGCCCUACGGGGGAAAGGAGGGGACCUUCGGGCCUUUCGCGAUUGGAUGAACCUAUNUGGGAUUAGCUAGUUGGUAAGGUAAUGGCUUACCAAGGCGACGAUCCCUAGCUGUUCUGAGAGGAUGAUCAGCCACACUGGGACUGAGACACGGCCCAGACUCCUACGGGAGGCAGCNGUGGGGGAAUAUUGCNCAAUGGGGGAAACCCUGAUGCAGCCAUGCCGCGUGUGUGAAGAAGGGCCUUCGGGUUGUANAGCACUUUCAGUANGGAGGGAAAGGUAGCNNCUUAAUACGUUGUUGCUGUGACGUUACCUACAGAAGAAGGGACCGGCUUAACUUCNUNGCCAGCAGCCGCGGGUAAUACGNAGGGG